AUUGAACGCUGGCGGCAGGCCUAACACAUGCAAGUCGAACGGUAACAGGAAGCAGCUUGCUGCUUCGCUGACGAGUGGCGGACGGGUGAGGAAUGUCUGGGAAACUGCCUGAUGGAGGGGGAUAACUACUGGAAACGGUAGCUAAUACCGCAUAACGUCGCAAGACCAAAGAGGGGGACCUUAGGGCCUCUUGCCAUCGGAUGUGCCCAGAUGGGAUUAGCUAGUAGGCGGGGUAACGGCUCACCUAGGCGACGAUCCCUAGCUGGUCUGAGAGGAUGACCAGCCAUACUGGAACUGAGACACGGUCCAGACUCCUACGGGAGGCAGCAGUGGGGAAUAUUGCACAAUGGGCGCAAGCCUGAUGCAGCCAUGCCGCGUGUAUGAAGAAGGCCUUCGGGUUGUAAAGUACUUUCAGCGGGGAGGAAGGGAGUAAAGUUAAUACCUUUGCUCAUUGACGUUACCCGCAGAAGAAGCACCGGCUAACUCCGUG
RNAcentral lists this ribosomal RNA (490 nucleotides) under uncultured bacterium. RNAcentral describes it as "partial 16S ribosomal RNA". It matches the Rfam family "Bacterial small subunit ribosomal RNA", at positions 30 to 507 of the family's 1533-position model. The record is from RNAcentral.